Molecule: ribosomal RNA, 495 nt
Filed under: uncultured bacterium
Lineage: Bacteria
Description: partial 16S ribosomal RNA
Rfam family: Bacterial small subunit ribosomal RNA
Source: RNAcentral
GAUGAACGCUGGCGGCGUGCCUAAUACAUGCAAGUCGAGCGAACGGACGAGAAGCUUGCUUUUCUGAUGUUAGCGGCGGACGGGUGAGUAACACGUGGAUAACCUACCUAUAAGACUGGGAUAACUUCGGGAAACCGGAGCUAAUACCGGAUAAUAUUUUGAACCGCAUGGUUCAAAAGUGAAAGACGGUCUUGCUGUCACUUAUAGAUGGAUCCGCGCUGCAUUAGCUAGUUGGUAAGGUAACGGCUUACCAAGGCAACGAUGCAUAGCCGACCUGAGAGGGUGAUCGGCCACGCUGGAACUGAGACACGGUCCAGACUCCUACGGGAGGCAGCAGUAGGGAAUCUUCCGCAAUGGGCGAAAGCCUGACGGAGCAACGCCGCGUGAGUGAUGAAGGUCUUCGGAUCGUAAAACUCUGUUAUUAGGGAAGAACAUAUGUGUAAGUAACUGUGCACAUCUUGACGGUACCUAAUCAGAAAGCCACGGCUAACUACG